Molecule: ribosomal RNA, 429 nt
Filed under: uncultured bacterium
Lineage: Bacteria
Description: bacterial SSU rRNA
Rfam family: Bacterial small subunit ribosomal RNA
Source: RNAcentral
ACUCCUACGGGAGGCAGCAGUGGGGAAUAUUGCGCAAUGGGCGAAAGCCUGACGCAGCAACGCCGCGUGCGGGAUGACGGCCUGGUUGUAACGCUUCAGCAGGAGAAGCGCAAGGUGACGGUACCUGCAGAAGAAGCACCGGCUAACUACGUGCCAGCAGCCGCGGUAAUACGUAGGUGCAAGCGUUGUCCGGAUUAUUGGGCGUAAAGAGCUCGUAGGCGGUCUGUUGCGUCGGUUGUGAAAACUCGGGCGUUAACCCCGAGCCUGCAUCCGAUACGGGCAGACUUGAGUGUGGUAGGGGAGGACUGGAAUUCCUGGUGUAGCGGUGAAAUGCGCAGAUAUCAGGAGGAACACCGAAUGGCGAAGGCAGGUCUCUGGGCCACAACUGACGCUGAGGAGCGAAAGCGUGGGAGCAAACAGGAUUAGAUA